This 360-nucleotide ribosomal RNA is filed under the name Escherichia coli. RNAcentral's name for it is "partial 23S ribosomal RNA". It matches the Rfam family "Bacterial large subunit ribosomal RNA", at positions 911 to 1268 of the family's 2925-position model. Lineage: Bacteria; Pseudomonadati; Pseudomonadota; Gammaproteobacteria; Enterobacterales; Enterobacteriaceae. The record is from RNAcentral.
UGUUUCGGCAAGGGGGUCAUCCCGACUUACCAACCCGAUGCAAACUGCGAAUACCGGAGAAUGUUAUCACGGGAGACACACGGCGGGUGCUAACGUCCGUCGUGAAGAGGGAAACAACCCAGACCGCCAGCUAAGGUCCCAAAGUCAUGGUUAAGUGGGAAACGAUGUGGGAAGGCCCAGACAGCCAGGAUGUUGGCUUAGAAGCAGCCAUCAUUUAAAGAAAGCGUAAUAGCUCACUGGUCGAGUCGGCCUGCGCGGAAGAUGUAACGGGGCUAAACCAUGCACCGAAGCUGCGGCAGCGACACUAUGUGUUGUUGGGUAGGGGAGCGUUCUGUAAGCCUGUGAAGGUGUGCUGUGAGG